CAUUAAAGAGUAAGGGUGCUCAGCGCCCGACCUCCAACCCUUUGUUGUUAAAACUACCUUGUUGCUUUGGCGGGACCGCUCGGUCUCGAGCCGCUGGGGAUUCGUCCCAGGCGAGCGCCCGCCAGAGUUAAACCAAACUCUUGUUAUUAAACCGGUCGUCUGAGUUAAAAUUUUGAAUAAAUCAAAACUUUCAACAACGGAUCUCUUGGUUCUCGCAUCGAUGAAGAACGCAGCGAAAUGCGAUAAGUAAUGUGAAUUGCAGAAUUCAGUGAAUCAUCGAAUCUUUGAACGCACAUUGCGCCCCUUGGUAUUCCGAGGGGCAUGCCUGUUCGAGCGUCAUUACACCACUCAAGCUAUGCUUGGCAUUGGGUGCCGUCCUUAGCUGGGCGCGCCUUAAAGACCUCGGCGAGGCCACUCCGGCUUUAGGCGUAGUAGAAUUUAUUCGAACGUCUGUCAAAGGAGAGGAACUCUGCCGAUUGAAACCUUUUAUUUUUCUAGGUUGACCUCGGAUCAGGUAGGGAUACCCGCUGAACUUAAGCAUAUCAAUAAGCGGAGGAAAAGAAACCAACAGGGAUUGCCCUAGUAACGGCGAGUGAAGCGGCAACAGCUCAAAUUUGAAAGCUAGCCUUCGGGUUCGCAUUGUAAUUUGUAGAGGAUGCUUUGGGUAAAACGCCAGUCUAAGUUCCCUGGAACAGGACGUCAUAGAGGGUGAGAAUCCCGUAUGUGACUGGAAAUGUUGACCUAUGUAAAGCUCCUUCGACGAGUCGAGUUGUUUGGGAAUGCAGCUCUAAAUGGGAGGUAAAUUUCUUCUAAAGCUAAAUAUUGGCGAGAGACCGAUAGCGCACAAGUAGAGUGAUCGAAAGAUGAAAAGCACUUUGGAAAGAGAGUUAAAAAGCACGUGAAAUUGUUGAAAGGGAAGCGCUUGCAAUCAGACUUGUUUAAACUGUUCGGCCGGUCUUCUGACCGGUUUACUCAGUUUGGACAGGCCAGCAUCAGUUUCGGCGGCCGGAUAAAGGCUCUGGGA
RNAcentral lists this ribosomal RNA (1024 nucleotides) under Dothideomycetes sp. genotype e52ss036. RNAcentral's name for it is "eukaryotic LSU rRNA". The stretch from base 501 to 1024 matches the Rfam family "Eukaryotic large subunit ribosomal RNA", at positions 1 to 533 of the family's 3401-position model. The record is from RNAcentral. Lineage: Eukaryota; Fungi; Ascomycota; Dothideomycetes.